Diceros bicornis minor is the source of this 980-nucleotide long non-coding RNA. RefSeq lists it as uncharacterized. The transcript is spliced from 3 exons. Lineage: Eukaryota; Metazoa; Chordata; Mammalia; Perissodactyla; Rhinocerotidae. The record is from RefSeq and is a predicted model, not a curated record.
AGAUCAAGAUUUGGCCACCCUGAAAUCUCUCUCUUUACCUUGGUUGUUUUCUCUGAGGACAUUUGACCUCUCCCAAACUGCCUAAAGAAUUUAAAACAAAAGAUCUGUUUCAGGAAGGAGUUAUUAUCAUGAUGGCUGUAAAAUAGAUGUUACAAUAGGAAAGGCACCAACAAGCCCAUCUUAUCGGAAGUUCUGUCUCUCUGGCCACAUUCUCUGGAUGGCCCUGCAAGGAGUUGCCAGACAAACAUUUACAUUUAUAAGGGAAAUCUCCAUUUGUAAAGGUAUCUCCCUCUCUGUAUUGGGAAGAGGGGGGAUGACCUCAUUUCUAGAGGCUUAUCAGUGUGGAAGGUGAGGCCUUAAAUCUGUAUAAUAACCUUACUCUUGUUUACUGUGCUUUAGUGGUAAUCUCCUGUAACUGACUCCCCCCACCCCCAACAUCCUCCUUUGUCAUUGGCUGAACAUGGUAUUUAAGAUGAGAAUUUCUGCGAUUGUGUUGAGAAGCGCAGUGUCCCUGCUUUCUCCCAUGUAUACACGUUAUUAAACUUGGUAUUAUUUUCUCCUGCUAACCUGUCUUGUUAAUUAUUUGGCCAGCCAUAAGAACUUUAAGGAAAAGGGCAGAGGGAGAUUCUCCCUCUCUCCCGACGACAGUUUUGGCAACGAGGAUGGGAUGCUAACUGGCUGGCAAGUUGCCUUCUCUGGCUGGAAGAACUGCCUUCUCCCUGGACUACUGCAGAUGAUGAGAUAUGGGAAUGCCUGACAAAAGCCGGCAAAAAGCCAUAAGAACCUUAAGGAAAAGGGCAGAGGGAGAUUCUCCCUCUCUCCCGACAGCCUCAUACCAAGGCCCGCACCUGAUGGUUCCUGGAGCCCCUGACAGAUCCUGGGACUCCUCCCUCUGCUGAUGUCACCAGCUCAGACCAAGGCCUUCACCUCCCUGGGACACUCCAAACAAAAGUAAAAAGACACCAAAUCCAGCCACCUCU